GCCGGCAUAGCUCAGUUGGUAGAGCAACCGCCUUGUAAGCGGUAGGUCCUCCGUUCGAGUCGGAGUGUCGGCACCA
Molecule: transfer RNA, 76 nt
Filed under: Oleiagrimonas soli
Lineage: Bacteria; Pseudomonadati; Pseudomonadota; Gammaproteobacteria; Lysobacterales; Rhodanobacteraceae
Also listed under: 1 other name
Description: tRNA-Thr
Rfam family: tRNA
About the family: Transfer RNA (tRNA) molecules are approximately 80 nucleotides in length. Their secondary structure includes four short double-helical elements and three loops (D, anti-codon, and T loops).
Source: RNAcentral